ACGCUACUCCCUCCGUUCGGAAUUACUCGUCCAAGAAAUGAAUGUAUCUAGAUGUAUUUUACUUGUAGUUACAUCCAUUUUUGUGACAAGUAAUUCCGAACGGAGGGAGUAGCUA
Triticum aestivum (bread wheat) is the source of this 115-nucleotide non-coding RNA. NCBI's taxonomy places the organism in Eukaryota, Viridiplantae, Streptophyta, Magnoliopsida, Poales, Poaceae. The record is from Rfam.